This 1004-nucleotide ribosomal RNA is filed under the name Ophiocordyceps sp. Its description in RNAcentral is "SSU rRNA". It matches the Rfam family "Eukaryotic small subunit ribosomal RNA", at positions 90 to 1105 of the family's 1831-position model. The record is from RNAcentral. Lineage: Eukaryota; Fungi; Ascomycota; Sordariomycetes; Hypocreales; Ophiocordycipitaceae.
CGAAUGGCUCAUUAUAUAAGUUAUCGUUUAUUUGAUAGUGCCUUACUACUUGGAUAACCGUGGUAAUUCUAGAGCUAAUACAUGCUAAAAGACCCGACUUUGGAAGGGUUGUAUUUAUUAGAUUAAAAACCAAUGCCCUCUGGGCUCACUGGUGAAUCAUGAUAACUUCGCGAAUCGCAUGGCCUUGUGCCGGCGAUGGCUCAUUCAAAUUUCUUCCCUAUCAACUUUCGAUGUUUGGGUAGUGGCCAAACAUGGUUGCAACGGGUAACGGAGGGUUAGGGCUCGACCCCGGAGAAGGAGCCUGAGAAACGGCUACUACAUCCAAGGAAGGCAGCAGGCGCGCAAAUUACCCAAUCCCGAUUCGGGGAGGUAGUGACAAUAAAUACUGAUACAGGGCUCUUUUGGGUCUUGUAAUUGGAAUGAGUACAAUUUAAAUCCCUUAACGAGGAACAAUUAGAGGGCAAGUCUGGUGCCAGCAGCCGCGGUAAUUCCAGCUCUAAUAGCGUAUAUUAAAGUUGUUGUGGUUAAAAAGCUCGUAGUUGAACCUUGGGCCUGGCUGGCGGGUCCGCCUCACCGCGUGUACUUCGCCGGCCGGGCCUUUCCCUCUGUGGAACCCUAUGCCCUUCACUGGGUGUGGUGGGGAAACAGGACUUUUACUUUGAAAAAAUUAGAGUGCUCCAGGCAGGCCUAUGCUCGAAUAUAUUAGCAUGGAAUAAUAAAAUAGGACGUGUGGUUCUAUUUUGUUGGUUUCUAGGACCGCCGUAAUGAUUAAUAGGGACAGCCGGGGGCAUCAGUAUUCAAUUGUCAGAGGUGAAAUUCUUGGAUUUAUUGAAGACUAACUACUGCGAAAGCAUUUGCCAAGAAUGUUUUCAUUAAUCAGGAACGAAAGUUAGGGGAUCGAAGACGAUCAGAUACCGUCGUAGUCUUAACCAUAAACUAUGCCGACUAGGGAUCGGACGAUGUUAUUACUUGACUCGUUCGGCACCUUACGAGAAAUCAAAGUG